GUGGGGAAUUUUGGACAAUGGGCGCAAGCCUGAUCCAGCAAUGCCACGUGCAGGAAGAAGGCCUUCGGGUUGUAAACUGCUUUUGUACGGAACGAAACGGUCCGGGUUAAUACCCUGGGCUAAUGACGGUACCGUAAGAAUAAGCACCGGCUAACUACGUGCCAGCAGCCGCGGUAAUACGUAGGGUGCAAGCGUUAAUCGGAAUUACUGGGCGUAAAGCGUGCGCAGGCGGUUUUGUAAGACAGGCGUGAAAUCCCCGGGCUCAACCUGGGAAUUGCGCUUGUGACUGCAAGGCUGGAGUGCGGCAGAGGGGGAUGGAAUUCCGCGUGUAGCAGUGAAAUGCGUAGAUAUGCGGAGGAACACCGAUGGCGAAGGCAAUCCCCUGGGCCUGCACUGACGCUCAUGUACGAAAGCGUGGGGAGCAAACAGGAUUAGAUACCCCUGUAGUCC
Molecule: ribosomal RNA, 450 nt
Filed under: uncultured bacterium
Lineage: Bacteria
Description: partial 16S ribosomal RNA
Rfam family: Bacterial small subunit ribosomal RNA
Source: RNAcentral